RNAcentral lists this ribosomal RNA (505 nucleotides) under uncultured bacterium. Its description in RNAcentral is "partial 16S ribosomal RNA". It matches the Rfam family "Bacterial small subunit ribosomal RNA", at positions 28 to 507 of the family's 1533-position model. The record is from RNAcentral.
GACGAACGCUGGCGGCGUGCCUAAUACAUGCAAGUAGAACGCACAGUUUAUACCGUAGCUUGCUACACCAUAGACUGUGAGUUGCGAACGGGUGAGUAACGCGUAGGUAACCUGCCUGGUAGCGGGGGAUAACUACUGGAAACGCUAGCUAAUACCGCAUAAUAUUAAUUAUUGCAUGAUAAUUAAUUGAAAGGAGCAAUUGCACCACUACCAGCUGGACCUGCGUUGUAUUAGCUAGUAGGUGAGGUAACGGCUCACCUAGGCGACGAUACAUAGCCGACCUGGGAGGGUGAUCGGCCACACUGGGACUGGGACCCGGCCCAGACUCCUACGGGAGGCAGCAGUAGGGAAUCUUCGGCAAUGGGCGAAAGUCUGACCGAGCAACGCCGCGGGAGUGAAGAAGGUUUUCGGGUCGUAAAGCUCUGUUGUAAGAGAAGAACGGGUGUGAGAGUGGAAAGUUCACACUGUGACGGUAUCUUACCAGAAAGCGACGGCUAACUACGUG